CCGAUUUAUCGUAGGUGACUUUAAAAAAAAUAACGAGUGAUUCGGACAAACAUAUUAUCCCGUCGUUAAACGGAAAACGUGUUUAAUUUUUAUACUGCCCGUCUACUCGCGGGGCAUGCAAGUCAAAACUCGCGUAAAAAAAAAAAAUUGUAUUCAUCCGGUCAUCUGCUAUUAGCGGUAAUAUCAUUAUCGAUGCGUAUAGCAGCUAUCGUCGAUCGCCAACGACAUUAGUGAUAAACGCCCACGACGAUGGUUUUGUAGGCCAAAAUAAUCCGAAAGCGACGACAAUCAAACGAAAUAACCGCGUUCGGAACCGUGUAGCGGUAACAUUUAUUUUUUAUGCGGCAAGUUUUUUUUUUUUACAAUGAAGUUCAUUUGUUUAAUAGUUUUCCUACAGUAUGUUGUGUCGUAUAAUAUUGUAUUGUCAACCAAUGGCGACGAAUCGGCACCGAC
Non-coding RNA from Cinara cedri, 453 nucleotides. NCBI's taxonomy places the organism in Eukaryota, Metazoa, Arthropoda, Insecta, Hemiptera, Aphididae. The record is from the annotation of a GenBank genome assembly.